Molecule: ribosomal RNA, 301 nt
Filed under: uncultured bacterium
Lineage: Bacteria
Description: partial 16S ribosomal RNA
Rfam family: Bacterial small subunit ribosomal RNA
Source: RNAcentral
CAGUCGCCGCGGUAAUACGAAGGGGGCUAGCGUUGCUCGGAAUGACUGAGCGUAAAGGGCGCGUAGGCGGCGAUCAAAGUCAGGCGUGAAAUUCCUGGGCUCAACCUGGGGGCUGCGCUUGAUACUUGGUUGCUUGAGUGGGGAAGAGGGUCGUGGAAUUCCCAGUGUAGAGGUGAAAUUCGUAGAUAUUGGGAAGAACACCGGUGGCGAAGGCGGCGACCUGGUCCUUGACUGACGCUGAGGCGCGAAAGCGUGGGGAGCAAACAGGAUUAGAUACCCCUGUAGUCCCUGUCUCUUAUAC